UUGGGUUUUGUCCAUAUCUGAUGUUUGUGA
RNAcentral lists this non-coding RNA (30 nucleotides) under Rattus norvegicus (Norway rat). The record is from RNAcentral. Lineage: Eukaryota; Metazoa; Chordata; Mammalia; Rodentia; Muridae.